This 465-nucleotide ribosomal RNA is filed under the name uncultured bacterium. RNAcentral's name for it is "partial 16S ribosomal RNA". It matches the Rfam family "Bacterial small subunit ribosomal RNA", at positions 28 to 507 of the family's 1533-position model. The record is from RNAcentral.
GACGAACGCUGGCGGCGUGCUUAACACAUGCAAGUCGAACGGAAAGGCCCCUUUGGGGGUACUCGAGUGGCGAACGGGUGAGUAACACGUGAGUAACCUGCCCUUGACUUCGGGAUAACUUCCGGAAACUGGGGCUAAUACCGGAUAGGAAUCCUUGCUGCAUGGUGGGGGUUGGAAAGCUUCGGCGGUUUUGGAUGGACUCGCGGCUUAUCAGCUUGUUGGUGGGGUAGUGGCUUACCAAGGCUUUGACGGGUAGCCGGCCUGGGAGGGCGACCGGCCACAUUUGGACUGAGAUACGGCCCAGACUCCUACGGGAGGCAGCAGUGGGGAAUAUUGCACAAUGGGCGGGAGCCUGAUGCAGCAACGCCGCGUGCGGGAUGACGGCCUUCGGGUUGGAAACCGCUUUCAGCAGGGGCGAAGCUUGUGGUGACGGUACCUGCAGAAGAAGCACCGGCUAACUACGUG